CUUUCCUACAUUUAUUGUACACAUACAUGUGUCAGUAAUAAAGCAUCUACUAAUGUUUCUGUAUAUAUAGCUACUGAAAAGAUAACAACCUUGUGUGGAUGAGAUGUCCUUUGCAGAUAAACCGAAUGCAACAAGUAGGAGAUGCGUGUUGGCACACAAAGAUGGCUUUCCUCGACCUCAGUUCCUCCAUUUUCCUGCAAGUUGAUCACACACCAAUGUCAGAUUUAAAGAUGACUAAAAAAGAAACUGGUGAAGCCUAAGACACAAUACGUUGAAUAGUGUUUGUCUGCAGCUGCUCCCAUUAUCAACUUCCUGACUUUAUUCUCAUAUAUCAUCUUCACAAUCCCUUUCUCUAUGGAGUCCAUCUCAACGCACAGCUUCUCUGCAUGGACCUGCAAAAACAAAUCUCCUUAGAAAUGACACAUACUUCAUAUCUCAUGAGUAUAUGUAUUAGCUGGCAUUUGGUUUUCGGUUUGGUUCUUUCAGUUCUAGAGGGUUAGGAUCUAUUCCGAUAUUUAAAAAAUUUAGUUCAGUUAAUUCGGUUUUCGGUUCAGUUUAGGUAACAAAGUUGGGAACGGCUAAUAUUCAAGGUAAUUUCGGAUCCCAUUCGGUUUACUGAGGCAAAUUCUGAGGUACUCAUCAACACAUACCCCUUUCUUCAGGCAAAUUCUGAGCAUCAAAUCUGGUACCCACUGUGGAAUAAAGAGAAAAAGAAAGAUCAAACCCACUGACUCUUUGGAUUUGUAGUGAGGGGUUAAAAAGACUUACAAAGAGGAAUCAUAUGAGGAGGUUGGUGAACAAGAACGAUGCAGAUCUUGUUCCCUUGGGAGUUAUCUAUUGCCCAUGUUAGAUUUGACUUGUUCUUGGCAGUUUCUCUCCCCACGGCAACAUAUAUUAUCUCCUCCAUCACUGCUGCUGCUUCUUCUUCUUUCUCCAUGUUCUUCUCUUUUGAGAAAAGUGGUUGGAAGAAUGGCUGGUUCGUUUGAGACAAGAAGCUGUUGUUUUCCCAAAUGUUUUAAAUAAUGUGGAAUCAAGAAAGAAAAAGAUUUGAUGAACGCAUGUGUCAUCCCUCUCUGGUGUAACUCUGUUCUUUCGAAUAUUCCAUCUGGAGUUUUGUAUUAUUAUCUCUUGUGUGUGUGUGUUUUUUAACUUCCAUGCCCUUUGAGGGUCAACGACCUAAUCAAACUCCAGAAGGUAACAAU
Brassica napus (rape) is the source of this 1202-nucleotide long non-coding RNA. RefSeq lists it as uncharacterized. The record is from RefSeq and is a predicted model, not a curated record. The transcript has 2 exons. Lineage: Eukaryota; Viridiplantae; Streptophyta; Magnoliopsida; Brassicales; Brassicaceae.